Molecule: unclassified non-coding RNA, 279 nt
Filed under: plant metagenome
Description: partial contains small subunit ribosomal RNA, internal transcribed spacer 1, and 5.8S ribosomal RNA
Source: RNAcentral
UUUCCGUAGGUGAACCUGCGGAAGGAUCAUUAUUGUAUGACCUCGGGGCGAGGUCUGUCGCUCAAACGAAUGGGCAUCCACGCCCGAGUGCCCUCACACACAUCAAUCUCACACCUAUGUGCACCACCGCAUGAAUCCCACUCUGUCUUCAUCGGAGGGGUGCUUACGUGUUCACACAAACUUUGUAGGCGAUGGAGAAUGUAUACUUUGGUUUUGCGGUCACGCAAUCACAACAACUUUGAACAACGGAUCUCUUGGCUCUAGCAUCGAUGAAGAACC